Molecule: transfer RNA, 73 nt
Filed under: Phycomyces blakesleeanus
Lineage: Eukaryota; Fungi; Mucoromycota; Mucoromycetes; Mucorales; Phycomycetaceae
Also listed under: 1 other name
Description: tRNA-Lys
Rfam family: tRNA
About the family: Transfer RNA (tRNA) molecules are approximately 80 nucleotides in length. Their secondary structure includes four short double-helical elements and three loops (D, anti-codon, and T loops).
Source: RNAcentral
ACCCGGCUAGCUCAAUUGGUAGAGCGUGGGACUUUUAAUCCCAAGGUUGGGGGUUCGAGCCCCCCGUUGGGUG